This 939-nucleotide long non-coding RNA is filed under the name Numida meleagris (helmeted guineafowl). RNAcentral's name for it is "lncRNA (ENSNMEG00000012930.1)". The record is from RNAcentral. Lineage: Eukaryota; Metazoa; Chordata; Aves; Galliformes; Numididae.
GGACAACGGGGAGCGGCCGUGGGUGGGGACACCGCGGUGACAGUGCCACGUGGGGUGGGGACCCCCAAGUGACAGUGCCACGUGGGGUGGGGACAGUGGCACUAUGGGGUGGGGACAUUGCAGUGACAAUGGCACUAUGGGGAUGGGGCCAGUGCCACCAUGGGGUGGGGACCCCCAAGUGACAGGGCCAAGUGGGGUGGGGACCCCCAAGUGACAGGGCCACAUGGGGUGGGGACAGUGGCACUAUGGGGAUGGGGACCCCCAAGUGACAGUGCCACUACGGGGAUGGGGACCCCCAAGUGAUAGGGCCAUGUGGGGUGGAGACCCCCAAGUGACAGUGCCACUAUGGGAUGGGGACCCCUGAGUGACAGUGCCACUAUGGGGUGGGGACAGUGCCACGUGGGGUGGGGACCCCUAGGUGACAGUGCCACUAUGGGGUGGGGACCCCCAGGUCACAGGGCCACUAUGGGGAUGGGGACAGUGGCACUAUGGGGUGGGGACCCCUAAGUGACAGUACCACUGUGGGGUGGGGACAGUGGAACUAUGGGGAUGGGGACCCCCAAGUGCCAGGGCCACUAUGGGGAUGGGACCAGUGGCACUACAGGGAUGGGGACCCCCAAGUGACAGGGCCACGUGGGGAUGGGGACCCCCAAGUGACAGUACCACUAUGGGGUGGGGACGGUGCCAUCAUGGGGUGGGGACCCCCAAGUGACAGUGCCACUAUGGGGAUGGGGACAGUGCCAAAAUGGGGUGGGGACCCCCAAGUGCCAGUGCCACCAUGGGGUGGGGGCCCCCAAGUGACAAUGCUAGUAUGGGGAUGGGGACCCCCAAGUGCCAGUGCCACCAUGGGGUGGGGACCCCCAGGUGACAAUGCUAGUAUGGGGAUGGGGACCCCCAAGUGCCAGUGCCACCAUGGGGUGGGGACCCCCAAGUGACAAU